GUCAUCACAACAACCCCCAAACCUCCCUCCCUCUGGCCUUACCCUAUCAGUCUCUCAAACUGCCAGCCACAGGGCCUUUGUACCUGCAUGCUGUCCUCUUGUCAGGCUUCCCUCUCCUCCACUCAUCUUUCUGGUCUUAGCCCAAUUGCUCUCUCCUCUGGGACAGCUCAGAAAGUCUGUUCCCAACAUGGCCAGCCUGGGUAUCUUCCUGUGCUUACUUGGGCAGUCGCCUUGCUAGGAAUAAGGCUUGAGUUCCUCAGGGUCCCAGCACAGCACAAGUGUUGAACUCUUUUGUCUGUAUUAGUAAGGCGAGAGCUUUAGACCCUUAUGUACAGCGUGUGGCUGUCAGGAAACACACAGGGCUGAAAUAUGAUCCCUGCUUAGACCUCAGCUUCUCUUCCCAGGAAGUGGAGGACUCUAGACUCCCCAUGAGUCUAUGCCCAGGACUGUGUACCCUGACACUGGCAAGCAAAGUGUGGGUCCCAAGUUCAGAAUCCCCAAGGUGAAGAGAGCACAGGGUGGGGGAUCCAGUCCUGACCUUAGCUAGGGAGAUGGGGACUGCCCUCUCGACACAGAGGCUGGAGGAUGGCCCUAUGCACAGGAAGCAGUUCAGGGAGGCAUGGAGUUGACCCAGAGUCCUUGACAGCAGCAAGCAGGCCUGUCCUGGAGCACACACUGGUGGGAGCAGAGCCAGGCAGCAAGUGGUGUCUGACCAGCGUCAACUCCCCGAGCUGGAAAUGGACUGCCCAAGAGGAUGGCUGGAUCACAGUUCUCUCCAGCCCCAAGGUGAUACCAGUACUCACAAGAGACAAGCCCCGUGCUCCCCAGGCCCUGGACUCACAAGAGACAAGCCUUUGUGUUGUUGUAAAAAUAUAAAAAUAAAAUGGUAUAGAUGUCUUUUACCGGCUUGGUUCGCACCUCGGUGCCCCAAGAUAUCUGCUAGAUAUCUUGGCGGAAACACAGCCCAGCUGCACACUUUCCUACACUCAAACCCUUACAUAAAAGAACACACA
RNAcentral lists this long non-coding RNA (1013 nucleotides) under Rattus norvegicus (Norway rat). RNAcentral describes it as "long non-coding RNA NONRATT032496". Lineage: Eukaryota; Metazoa; Chordata; Mammalia; Rodentia; Muridae. The record is from RNAcentral.